Long non-coding RNA from Helianthus annuus (common sunflower), 455 nucleotides. RefSeq lists it as uncharacterized. The transcript has 3 exons. Lineage: Eukaryota; Viridiplantae; Streptophyta; Magnoliopsida; Asterales; Asteraceae. The record is from RefSeq and is a predicted model, not a curated record.
GUGGAGAAGGAGUUUUCUCAGUCGUCUUCCAGUAAACACUCAUGUUCUCAAGUGAUAUCCAAUGUUGAAGAACAGUUUCUAAAUGCUGGUGACUUUGUGUACAAUGCUUUCAUUUCUUCCAUUGAAGUGGAAAAGAAGGUUGUCAUCGUUGGUACUGUUAUUGCAAUAUCAAAUAAUAAGCCUUGGUACUAUUUAGCAUGCAAUCAUUGUAAGAAACAAAUUGAAGAGAGAUCUCAGCUGGUUGAAAAAGAGGACGGCAGCUUUGACGUUUUAGAUCAGAAUAUCAUUGAGUGUACAAACGGUGAUUGCGAGGCUGUUGACAUUACCCCUAUUCAUCGAUACAAGAUACCUCUAAGGGUUCAGGAUUCGACAGGGACUGUGUCUUGUACGUUGUUUGAUUAUGAAGCUAUUAAGCUUUUUAAGAAAACCGCCAAACAACUCCUGGAUGUUUAUAC